GACGAACGCUGGCGGCGUGCUUAACACAUGCAAGUCGAACGGAAAGGCCCUGCUUUUGUGGGGUGCUCGAGUGGCGAGCGGGUGAGUAACACGUGAGUAACCUGCCCUUGACUUUGGGAUAACUUCAGGAAACUGGGGCUAAUACCGGAUAGGAGCUCCUGCUGCAUGGUGGGGGUUGGAAGGUUUCGGCGGUUGGGGAUGGACUCGCGGCUUAUCAGCUUGUUGGUGGGGUAGUGGCUUACCAAGGCUUUGACGGGUAGCCGGCCUGAGAGGGUGACCGGCCACAUUGGGACUGAGAUACGGCCCAGACUCCUACGGGAGGCAGCAGUGGGGAAUAUUGCACAAUGGGCGGAAGCCUGAUGCAGCAACGCCGCGUGCGGGGUGACGGCCUUCGGGUUGUAAACCGCUUUCGCCUGUGACGAAGCGUGAGUGACGGUAAUGGGUAAAGAAGCACCGGCUAACUACGUG
This 468-nucleotide ribosomal RNA is filed under the name uncultured bacterium. RNAcentral describes it as "partial 16S ribosomal RNA". It matches the Rfam family "Bacterial small subunit ribosomal RNA", at positions 28 to 507 of the family's 1533-position model. The record is from RNAcentral.